Molecule: non-coding RNA, 72 nt
Organism: Podarcis lilfordi (Lilford's wall lizard)
Lineage: Eukaryota; Metazoa; Chordata; Lepidosauria; Squamata; Lacertidae
Source: the annotation of a GenBank genome assembly
GGGGUCGUAGCUCAGUGGUAGAGCAGCUGCCUUGCAUGCAGAUGGUCCCAGGUUCUAUGUCUGCCGUCUCAA